ACGUAGGGUGCGAGCGUUAAUCGGAAUUACUGGGCGUAAAGCGUGCGCAGGUGGUUCAAUAAGACAGAUGUGAAAUCCCGGGGCUCAACCUGGGAACUGCGUUUGAGACUGUAGGACUUGAGUGCGGUAGAGGGGGGUCGAAUUCCACGUGUAGCAGUGAAAUGCGUAGAGAUGUGGAGGAACACCGAUGGCGAAGGCAGCCCCCUGGGUCGACACUGACGCUCAUGCACGAAAGCGUGGGGAGCAAACAG
This 251-nucleotide ribosomal RNA is filed under the name uncultured prokaryote. Its description in RNAcentral is "partial 16S ribosomal RNA". It matches the Rfam family "Bacterial small subunit ribosomal RNA", at positions 525 to 775 of the family's 1533-position model. The record is from RNAcentral.